This 406-nucleotide ribosomal RNA is filed under the name uncultured bacterium. RNAcentral describes it as "partial 16S ribosomal RNA". It matches the Rfam family "Bacterial small subunit ribosomal RNA", at positions 30 to 526 of the family's 1533-position model. The record is from RNAcentral.
AUUGAACGCAGGCGGCAGGCCUAACACAUGCAAGUCGAACGAGUGGCGGACGGGUGAGUAAUGUCUGGGAAACUGCCUGAUGGAGGGGGAUAACUACUGGAAACGGUAGCUAAUACCGCAUACCAUCAGAUGUGCCCAGAUGGGAUUAGCUUGUUGGUGGGGUAACGGCUCACCAAGGCGACGAUCCCUAGCUGGUCUGAGAGGAUGACCAGCCACACUGGAACUGAGACACGGUCCAGACUCCUACGGUAGGCAGCAGUGGGGAAGAUUGCACAUUGGGCGCAAGCCUGAGGCAGCCAUGCCGCGUGGAUGAAGAAGGCGUUCGGGUUGUAAAGUAAGUUCGGCGGGAAUGCGUAACCAGCAGAAGAAGCACCGGCUAACUCCGUGCCAGCAGCCGCGGUAAUAC